ACAGCAGAGGACUCCGAUGCGGAGCCGCGUUCAAGUCACCACAUCCGUGUCACUGUCACAUUCCUUUGGGUUCCACUUGGUGGAUCAGGGUCGCCACCGUGCGCCGCCCCAAAUUCUACCGUCAAAACGCGGACCAUAAUCGCAUCCAUAUCUGAUUCACAAACGCGGACGCGCUGUAAAUCUAACGGACGUUGGUACAGUUUUUGUUGGGGCAGACACGACCGAACAGCGCUCUCCAUAAACAGGUGGAAUUACCUCUGGGUCGGACAGGGCUAGCCAGCUGUAAUCCACCCUGCUACGGUGAUGCCCGCCUGCCUCCCGGCUUUUACGACCAAGAAUCGGAGCGCUGAUGUGAUGUUUCCCCGUCGACUGAUGAGGCAUCGGGGAAGAAAGAGAAGGCAGCCACGACACGCGAUUGUUCAACAUGACAGUGAGACAGAAAAAUAAUGUCAAGAUAAAUAAAAAAUCAUGAUGAGUGAAGUUCUUAGUCAGGUUGUGUUUUUUUCGGGUUCUUAUUUAAACGGUGUCUAGGCCAGG
Molecule: long non-coding RNA, 537 nt
Organism: Engraulis encrasicolus (European anchovy)
Lineage: Eukaryota; Metazoa; Chordata; Actinopteri; Clupeiformes; Engraulidae
Exons: 3
Source: RefSeq, a predicted model, not a curated record